GUGGGGAAUAUUGGGCAAUGGGCGCAAGCCUGACCCAGCAACGCCGCGUGAAGGAAGAAGGCUUUCGGGUUGUAAACUUCUUUUACCAGGGACGAAACAAAUGACGGUACCUGGUGAAUAAGCCACGGCUAACUACGUGCCAGCAGCCGCGGUAAUACGUAGGUGGCGAGCGUUAUCCGGAUUUAUUGGGUGUAAAGGGCGUGUAGGCGGGACAGCAAGUCAGAUGUGAAAACCAGAGGCUCAACCUCUGGCCUGCAUUUGAAACUGUUGUUCUUGAGUGUCGGGGAGGUAAUCGGAAUUCCGUGUGUAGCGGUGAAAUGCGUAGAUAUACGGAGGAACACCAGUGGCGAAGGCGGAAUACUGGACGAUAACUGACGCUGAGGCGCGAAAGCGUGGGGAGCAAACAGGAUUAGAUACCCGUGUAGUCC
RNAcentral lists this ribosomal RNA (428 nucleotides) under uncultured bacterium. Its description in RNAcentral is "partial 16S ribosomal RNA". It matches the Rfam family "Bacterial small subunit ribosomal RNA", at positions 354 to 796 of the family's 1533-position model. The record is from RNAcentral.